This 69-nucleotide transfer RNA is filed under the name Rattus norvegicus (Norway rat). It matches the Rfam family "tRNA". Rfam says of the family: Transfer RNA (tRNA) molecules are approximately 80 nucleotides in length. Their secondary structure includes four short double-helical elements and three loops (D, anti-codon, and T loops). The record is from Rfam by way of RNAcentral. Lineage: Eukaryota; Metazoa; Chordata; Mammalia; Rodentia; Muridae.
GGGGAAUUAGCUCAGUGGUAGAGUGCUUGCCUAGGAAGCGCAAGACCCUGGGUUCAGUCCCCAGCUCCG